Molecule: ribosomal RNA, 301 nt
Filed under: uncultured bacterium
Lineage: Bacteria
Description: partial 16S ribosomal RNA
Rfam family: Bacterial small subunit ribosomal RNA
Source: RNAcentral
CAGCAGCCACGGGAAAACGGUGGGGCUAGCGUUGUUCGGAAUUACUGGGCGUAAAGCGCACGUAGGCGGCUUGGUAAGUUAGAGGUGAAAGCCUGGAGCUCAACUCCAGAAUUGCCUUUAAGACUGCCGAGCUAGCAGGUGAGAGAGGUAAGUGGAAUUCCGAGUGUAGAGGUGAAAUUCGUAGAUAUCGGAAGGAACACCUGUGGCGAAAGCGGCUUUCUGGACUGUAACUGACGCUGAGGCUCGAAAGCCAGGGGAGCGAACGGGAUUAGAUACCCCCGUAGUCCCUGUCUCUUAUACA